This 347-nucleotide ribosomal RNA is filed under the name uncultured Magnaporthe. RNAcentral describes it as "SSU rRNA". It matches the Rfam family "Eukaryotic small subunit ribosomal RNA", at positions 20 to 370 of the family's 1831-position model. Lineage: Eukaryota; Fungi; Ascomycota; Sordariomycetes; Magnaporthales; Magnaporthaceae. The record is from RNAcentral.
GUAGUCAUAUGCUUGUCUCAAAGAUUAAGCCAUGCAUGUCUAAGUAUAAGCAAUUUGUACAGUGAAACUGCGAAUGGCUCAUUAAAUCAGUUAUCGUUUAUUUGAUAGUACCUUACUACUUGGAUAACCGUGGUAAUUCUAGAGCUAAUACAUGCUAAAAACCUCGACUUCGGAAGGGGUGUAUUUAUUAGAUUAAAAACCAAUGCCCUUCGGGGCUCACUGGUGAUUCAUAAUAACUUCUCGAAUCGCACGGCCUUGCGCCGGCGAUGGUUCAUUCAAAUUUCUGCCCUAUCAACUUUCGACGGCUGGGUCUUGGCCAGCCGUGGUGACAACGGGUAACGGGGAAU